This 434-nucleotide ribosomal RNA is filed under the name uncultured bacterium. Its description in RNAcentral is "partial 16S ribosomal RNA". It matches the Rfam family "Bacterial small subunit ribosomal RNA", at positions 29 to 507 of the family's 1533-position model. The record is from RNAcentral.
AGCGAACGCUGGCGGCAGGCCUAACACAUGCAAGUCGAACGAACCUUUCGGGGUUAGUGGCGGACGGGUGAGUAACACGUGGGAACGUGCCUUUAGGUUCGGAAUAACUCAGGGAAACUUGUGCUAAUACCGAAUGUGCCCUCCGGGGGAAAGAUUAAUCGCCUUUAGAGCGGCCCGCGUCUGAUUAGCUAGUUGGUUGAGGUAAUGGCUCACCAAGGCGACGAUCAGUAGCUGGUCUGAGAGGAUGAUCAGCCACAUUGGGACUGAGACACGGCCCAAACUCCUACGGGAGGCAGCAGUGGGGAAUCUUGCGCAAUGGGCGAAAGCCUGACGCAGCCAUGCCGCGUGAAUGAUGAAGGUCUUAGGAUUGUAAAAUUCUUUCACCGGGGACGAUAAUGACGGUACCCGGAGAAGAAGCCCCGGCUAACUUCGUG